CUUUCCUAUUUCUUUCUCUUUUCGUUCCCUUUUCUCUCCUCUUUUCCUCCUCCUCUCUUCCUUUCCCAGAGAAAUCUCCAGGUACUGUCCCUUUUCGUUGUCCUCAAGAAAGCUAUAAUACCAGGAACGGUAGGAGGAAAAACCACUCACACAGAGAGAAUCAACCAUGAGUAGGGGCUUGGGGUACCAGUAAAGCUUCUACACGAACCAUGAGUAGGAGCUUGAGAUGUUGCUUGCAGUGAUAUCUCUUGUAAACGCUAAAGAAAAAAAAGGUGGUUCAGUGGAAGCCAGGUUACGUGAUCGAGAGGAGUGGAAUCAGCUUGAAAGGAACGUAAGAGAAAGAGAUGAUGCAGUAGGAACACGAAAGGUAAAUGAUGGAUUUGAUAUCAUUCUGUACAAUUUUCUGGAAUAACCUAUGUGCUUCAGGCCUAGUCCAUGUGUCAAAAUAGAACCUAGGGGCCAGCUAACAAAGGCAUAAUAUCAUUGAGAGAUUCUUAAAUGUAUUAAUCUUUCAUUAUAUUAAGCUUUGUGAAUGUGUUGAGUUA
Molecule: non-coding RNA, 545 nt
Organism: Nelumbo nucifera (sacred lotus)
Lineage: Eukaryota; Viridiplantae; Streptophyta; Magnoliopsida; Proteales; Nelumbonaceae
Source: RefSeq, a predicted model, not a curated record